CUCAGAUCAGACGAGACUACCCGCUGAACUUAAGCAUAUCAGUAAGCGGAGGAAAAGAAACUAACAAGGAUUCCCUCAGUAACGACGAGUGAAGCGGGAAGAGCCCAGCACCGAAUCCCCUGGUUCUGCNCCGGCGGGAACUGUGGUGUGUAGCGNAACCCGUUCGGCAUCGACGCACUCCANUGCCCAAGUCCUCCUGAUCGGGGCUCCCAGAGCGGGUGUCAGGCCUUUNGCGGCACGGGACGAGACGUCUUGCGGCGUCCUCGGAGUCGGGUUGUUUGGGAAUGCAGCCCAAAGUNG
RNAcentral lists this ribosomal RNA (300 nucleotides) under Haliotis tuberculata (green ormer). RNAcentral's name for it is "eukaryotic LSU rRNA". It matches the Rfam family "Eukaryotic large subunit ribosomal RNA", at positions 1 to 295 of the family's 3401-position model. The record is from RNAcentral. Lineage: Eukaryota; Metazoa; Mollusca; Gastropoda; Lepetellida; Haliotidae.